CUAGAAUAUUAGAAUAUUAAUUUAAAACUAAGAAUUUUUUUAAAAUUUUAAGAAGGGUUAGAAUGAUGAGCUGGCAACCGCACCACAUAAUGGCGGUCUAUGACUUUAACAGUUUAUACCCCUCUCUGAAGUUGGAGCCAGUUUGUUUGGCCCUACACAGAUUUAUGCUACAGAACCUCCAGUAUGUGCAAGGAAGAGAGAGAAUUCUAAGAGAUAUGGCACAUCAACUUUGUCAUCGGUCUUACUGUGCUUCACUUCGCUACAGUGUGGAGCACGACACAUCCCAUUCUUGUGCUAUCUAAAUGCAUGUGUAUCUCAUUAAUCUUUAACCCUAGUUCAUUAG
RNAcentral lists this long non-coding RNA (343 nucleotides) under Androctonus crassicauda. Lineage: Eukaryota; Metazoa; Arthropoda; Arachnida; Scorpiones; Buthidae. The record is from RNAcentral.